RNAcentral lists this ribosomal RNA (253 nucleotides) under uncultured bacterium. RNAcentral's name for it is "partial 16S ribosomal RNA". It matches the Rfam family "Bacterial small subunit ribosomal RNA", at positions 524 to 776 of the family's 1533-position model. The record is from RNAcentral.
UACGUAGGGGGCAAGCGUUAUCCGGAUUUACUGGGUGUAAAGGGGGCGCAGACGGCGAUGCAAGCCAGGAGUGAAAGCCCGGGGCCCAACCCCGGGACUGCUCUUGGAACUGCGUGGCUGGAGUGCAGGAGGGGCAGGCGGAAUUCCUGGUGUAGCGGUGAAAUGCGUAGAUAUCAGGAGGAACACCGGUGGCGAAGGCGGCCUGCUGGACUGCAACUGACGUUGAGGCCCGAAAGCGUGGGGAGCAAACAGG